RNAcentral lists this non-coding RNA (26 nucleotides) under Cricetulus griseus (Chinese hamster). The record is from RNAcentral. Lineage: Eukaryota; Metazoa; Chordata; Mammalia; Rodentia; Cricetidae.
UGUGGAAAAGUGGAUUGAGAAGACAU